AGUGAACGCUGGCGGUAGGCCUAACACAUGCCAGUCGAACGGCAGCACAGUAAGAGCUUGCUCUUACGGGUGGCGAGUGGCGGACGGGUGAGGAAUACAUCGGAAUCUACUUUUUCGUGGGGGAUAACGUAGGGAAACUUACGCUAAUACCGCAUACGACCUACGGGUGAAAGCAGGGGAUCUUCGGACCUUGCGCGAUUGAAUGAGCCGAUGUCGGAUUAGCUAGUUGGCGGGGUAAAGGCCCACCAAGUCGACGAUCCGUAGCUGGUCUGAGAGGAUGAUCAGCCACACUGGAAGUGAGACACGGUCCAGACUCCUACGGGAGGCAGCAGUGGGGAAUAUGGGACAAUGGGCGCAAGCCUGAUCCAGCCAUACCGCGUGGGUGAAGAAGGCCUUCGGGUUGGAAAGCCCUUUUGUUGGGAAAGAAAAGCAGCAGGUUAAUACCCCGCUGUUCUGACGGUACCCAAAGAAUAAGCACCGGCUAACUUCGUG
RNAcentral lists this ribosomal RNA (492 nucleotides) under uncultured bacterium. RNAcentral describes it as "partial 16S ribosomal RNA". It matches the Rfam family "Bacterial small subunit ribosomal RNA", at positions 29 to 507 of the family's 1533-position model. The record is from RNAcentral.